RNAcentral lists this ribosomal RNA (442 nucleotides) under Escherichia coli. Its description in RNAcentral is "bacterial SSU rRNA". It matches the Rfam family "Bacterial small subunit ribosomal RNA", at positions 1 to 439 of the family's 1533-position model. The record is from RNAcentral. Lineage: Bacteria; Pseudomonadati; Pseudomonadota; Gammaproteobacteria; Enterobacterales; Enterobacteriaceae.
AAAUUGAAGAGUUUGAUCAUGGCUCAGAUUGAACGCUGGCGGCAGGCCUAACACAUGCAAGUCGAACGGUAACAGGAAACAGCUUGCUGUUUCGCUGACGAGUGGCGGACGGGUGAGUAAUGUCUGGGAAGCUGCCUGAUGGAGGGGGAUAACUACUGGAAACGGUAGCUAAUACCGCAUAAUGUCGCAAGACCAAAGAGGGGGACCUUCGGGCCUCUUGCCAUCGGAUGUGCCCAGAUGGGAUUAGCUAGUAGGUGGGGUAACGGCUCACCUAGGCGACGAUCCCUAGCUGGUCUGAGAGGAUGACCAGCCACACUGGAACUGAGACACGGUCCAGACUCCUACGGGAGGCAGCAGUGGGGAAUAUUGCACAAUGGGCGCAAGCCUGAUGCAGCCAUGCCGCGUGUAUGAAGAAGGCCUUCGGGUUGUAAAGUACUUUCAG